GUCUCUGUCUCUCUCUCCUUUUCUCUCCUUGCUGCAAUGAGAAGACACAGCAAGAAGACUUCUGUCUGCAAGCAAGGAAGAAGGCUCUCACCAGGAACCGAAUUGGUUAACACCUAAUUAUCUUGGACUUCCCAGCCUUUAGAACUAAAGACAACUGAAUAAAUUUGGUAGCAGAAUAGGAAGGAACAAAUACAUGAGCGUACUCGGAAUGAGAGAAGACAGCAGCAGGUAACAGAAGGUGGUUAAGUAAUGAAAUUUUUAGCAGCACAUGCCCACACCGUGGCCCCUUCCUGAUUCCUGUAAUGUACAUGUGGAAUCGACUGUGUAGAAGAGAAACUUCAGAGAUGCAUUGGUGUCAAUCAGGCACAUCCCUGGACCAGACUAUAUAUCCAAUUAAAGAUGUAUUGAGGACUAUCUCUCACACAUAUUGCCUGGCUAUGGGCCCUACCUUUGAGGAUGUGAUGUCUUUGGUGCCACAGACAUGCAUAAUCAGUGGACACAGAGAAAGCAUGAGUGAUUCAAAUGGACAUGGAAACAAGAACUGGAAAUUGGACGUCUGGUAUUCUCAUGGAUGGCUUGCAGGACUUCCUUAUGGGAUUUGGGUACGAAGGUCCCCCUCCACCGUCACCCAAGCUUUAUCGCCUCUGUCCUAGAUUAUUGCUUCUAGCAUUGAAGGGACAGUGAUAUGUAAAAUAUCCAGGACAAAGGAAACGGAAGAUACAGGUGAAAGUGAGUGAGGAAGCAGAGAAGGCAGAUCUUAGAAGCAGGGCCGACCACUACCACCAGCCCAACUGGAUAUACUGUCGAGAUUUAAGUGAGUACACAGUUGGAGUUUACCAAGGAGAGCAGAGGGUCUGGGAAAGACUAAAAUGCCAGUCACCAAAUCCAGUUGUCUCAGUUACAAUAAAUCCCCAAGAAGGUCUAAUGCAUGGAUAAAAACAUAUGAAAAUGAAGCAAAUAAUUACUUGUGGUGGAAUGAAUUUGAAUGGAUCCAUCUUGAUGGAAGAUUCUGUCCCGAAGCAGUGUGAAGAGAAUGUCGGAAGAUUACUGAGAAGUGCAAGGUUGGGAGGAGACACACUAAUCUUCCUACAAGUAAGACUUCUAGUCAUGAAAACCCUGUUGGAACAUCUGAAACGCUUUAUGUACAAGGACCUGUCUUAGAGGAAGAAGCUGAUGAGGAACUUCUCAGUUUUUCUGGGCUCACCAGGUCUCCUCAGGUUCAAUGACCUUACCGACCAGUCAAGGGUCCUUAGAUCUCAUCCAAGUCAUCUGGCUGGUAUUUCCUUAGGGAAAAGAGGGGCUGAAGAUGCUGUACAAAGCUUAAUUUCUGCACCUCGUCCUUAAAUGCAGCACUGACUCCCCUGAGCUGGAGGUGGGCAAAAGACCCAAGUCAAACCUGUUACAUCACACACCCACCUAGUAGCCAGAGUGAAGGAUCCAAGAAGGCAUAAGACACAGUAGAGCCCAUCAGAGACCAUCCUGGGAAGCUGUUUUUUAACUAGAGACAAUACAAAUGUUAUUUUUUAGUAGACCUUUACUAAAAGAUGCUUUUAGUCAAAAAUAACAUCACAGGGCAAGUCUGUUUGAGAGAAUGAUGCUGCCACACAGCCAGAAAAGAAGGAAGGCAUCUCUGCUUUCAGUUUCAGAAUUUUCCAGAACUGUAACCAAAGCAUAGCUAUUUAGUUGUUUCUUCGAUUUUGGUGAGCUGUGCAGGAAUCAUUUCAAUAAAUUCCCCUUUUUGUUUAAUCUUGUUUGAAAAGUUUUCUUUUUCAUUUGUGUCCCAAAGUAUCCUGG
This is a long non-coding RNA of Equus caballus (horse), 1794 nucleotides long. NCBI's taxonomy places the organism in Eukaryota, Metazoa, Chordata, Mammalia, Perissodactyla, Equidae. The record is from Ensembl.